Molecule: ribosomal RNA, 497 nt
Filed under: uncultured bacterium
Lineage: Bacteria
Description: partial 16S ribosomal RNA
Rfam family: Bacterial small subunit ribosomal RNA
Source: RNAcentral
GAUGAACGCUGGCGGCGUGCCUAAUACAUGCAAGUCGAGCGAACAGAUGAGGAGCUUGCUCCUCUGACGUUAGCGGCGGACGGGUGGGUAACACGUGGAUAACCUACCUAUAAGACUGGGAUAACUUCGGGAAACCGGAGCUAAUACCGGAUAAUAUAUUGAACCGCAUGGUUCAAUAGUGAAAGACGGUUUUGCUGUCACUUAUAGAUGGAUCCGCGCCGCAUUAGCUAGUUGGUAAGGUAACGGCUUACCAAGGCAACGAUGCGUAGCCGACCUGAGAGGGGGAGCGGCGACACAAGAAAUGAUGCAGGGUCCGGAGAAAGAUGGGAGGCCGCAGUGGGGGAGCUUCCGCAAUGUGUGAAAGAGGGAAGGCGCAAUGAUGAGUGAGUGACGAAGGGCUAAGGAUCGGAACACUCCGUGAGGAGGGAAGAACAAAAGUGCAAGGAACUAGGCACGUCGGGACGGGACAUAAGAAGAAAGACACGGCGAACGAAGUG